UGGCUCAGUGGUAGAGUGCUUGCUUUGCAUGCAUGAGGUCCUGGGUUCGAUUCCUCAG
Non-coding RNA from Dipodomys ordii (Ord's kangaroo rat), 58 nucleotides. The record is from Rfam. Lineage: Eukaryota; Metazoa; Chordata; Mammalia; Rodentia; Heteromyidae.